This 557-nucleotide long non-coding RNA is filed under the name Rattus norvegicus (Norway rat). Its description in RNAcentral is "long non-coding RNA NONRATT027629". Lineage: Eukaryota; Metazoa; Chordata; Mammalia; Rodentia; Muridae. The record is from RNAcentral.
CAGCCUCCCGGCCACCCCAGGUCAGCUUCCGGACCGGCGCAGGCUGCCCUCCGAGCGCGUCCCCGGUCAGCAGUCAGCAGGCGUCCCCUCCGCCCGGCCCGGCCAGCCCAGCUCAGGAGGGACGAAGGCAAGGACGACACUCCCCGGCCACCAUUCAUUUCCCCACUGGUCUCCUCAGCUCUGCAGAUUGAAGUGAGUGAAUUCAGAUAUAAUUCAAGCUUGUUAGAGCGCUUUAAAAAAAUACAAAGUUGAUUCGUUGCUUGAGAGCAAGUUAACUACUGCUGCUUACCGGUGAGAGACUUACAGGUGCUUGCCUGAAUUGCAAUAAAGGACUCAUAUAUUGAGCAAGACUUAUUUAUCUCUUCAUUUUGGAGAGCCUCAUAAACUGUUAUUACAGUUUCUCUACUGACUUUGAAAAGUUUGAAAGAGACACCUGUGCAGCUAAGAAAGCAUGAGCACGGCCAGGACAGAGAACCCUGUUAUCAUGGGUCUGUCCAGUCAGAACGGCCAGCUGAGGGGCCCUGUGAAGGCCAGUGCCGGCCCUGGAGGAGGGGGCC